RNAcentral lists this ribosomal RNA (459 nucleotides) under uncultured bacterium. Its description in RNAcentral is "partial 16S ribosomal RNA". It matches the Rfam family "Bacterial small subunit ribosomal RNA", at positions 338 to 795 of the family's 1533-position model. The record is from RNAcentral.
CCUACGGGGGGCUGCAGUGAGGAAUAUUGGUCAAUGGCCGGAAGGCUGAACCAGCCAAGCCGCGUGAGGGAGGAAGGCGCAGAGCGUCGCAGACCUCUUUUGCCGGGGAGCAAAGAGAGUCACGUGUGGCUCAUUGAGAGUACCCGACGAAAAAGUAUCGGCUAACUCCGUGCCAGCAGCCGCGGUAAUACGGGGGAUGCGAGCGUUAUCCGGAUUUAUUGGGUUUAAAGGGUGCGCAGGCGGAGGUGCAAGUCAGUGGUCAAAUUGCGGGGCUCAACCCCGUACUGCCGUUGAAACUGCAGCCCUUGAGUGCGCGAGAAGUAUGCGGAAUGCGUGGUGUAGCGGUGAAAUGCAUAGAUAUCACGCAGAACUCCGAUUGCGAAGGCAGCAUACCGGCGCGCAACUGACGCUCAUGCACGAAAGCGUGGGUAUCGAACAGGAUUAGAUACCCCAGUAGUC